Molecule: long non-coding RNA, 1289 nt
Organism: Cyprinus carpio carpio
Lineage: Eukaryota; Metazoa; Chordata; Actinopteri; Cypriniformes; Cyprinidae
Source: Ensembl
CAUAAAUCGUGUCAUAUUUCCAUAUCCAAUCUUUAUUACUGAUUAUUCACACUUGUCAUUUUGCAAAUGAUAAACUCUAACCAUGUCCCGAAUUAUGAAAAAGAACUACUUGAAUCUGAUCUGACUGUUCAAAAAUUUGAUUUUAAAUGGGAAAUGUCACUAAAUUUGACCUGCUUUUAGCACGUUAUGGUUAUUUAUCAUCAAACGUGUCUUGAUAAAGAAACAUUGCAUAAUAGUUGCACAUUUUAAGAGUAAUUCACUUCCAUACAGUCUUCCAAGUAAUUAAUAUCUAAGGCUGUUUGGAAUCGAACACGAGCUAACUGAAUACUUCACAUAGUACUGCAAAUGAUAUUUUCUUGAAUAGUAUGUGAAAUAAAUGCAGUAUGCAGUGUGACAUCCAAUCAUCAUUUUGGAAAUAGAGCUUAUUUAUAGUUAAAAUUACAACUUUUGACAUUCUCUUCAAAUGAAUCUAUACUAUAUUGGAAAUGGACUGUUAAGGCAAGCGCUUUGCAUUGUGGGAUGUUAUAUUCCAUGCAGUGUGCUGAUAUAUGCUACACAUUUGGUCAUCAGGGUAUUUCACGCAUACUGCAGAAGUAGUAGUAGUACGCAGGUAUGCUUUUCCUAACAGCCUAAAUCCCCCCAAACAAAAAGCAACUGUACUUUUCUAACAGCUGACAGAGAUUAUGGGAGAAGUGGUCUUAUGAUGUGACUAUCGGUCACUGCCUCAAAUCUUGCCAAAUCCUUUUGUCAAAUGCGUGCGAGUGCGGAGGAUGUUUUAGCCCUUCCGACAGGAACUCAUGUACCAAAGCCUCUAAAACAUCUUCAUCCUUGUCAUACACGCGUGCAAUGUUAAACCACAACUCGAAGACUGUUGAUCAGGUGUAUAAAAGACAAAUCAUUUCUUUUCAUUUCUACUGUGAGACAUUUAUUAUCCUCCUUUGUGUGUGUCUAUUAUUGCACUGUAAAUAAAGAGAAAGGCCCUGGAUUUCUACGAGGACACUACUGUCAGCUGUAUUUCAGACUCUAUUUUUUACUUUGGUUUUAGAGACUGUGCUAACCUGGAGCGCUGUACAAUUUGAACGUGGGAAACCUUUGUUACUUGUUGACUGUUACGUCCUUUAUCAACGUUGUGCAUUGGUUUCUAAUCGUUUCAAAUAUAUAUGUACAUUUUUGUUUGGACGCUAACAUCAGAAUGAAGUAUGUAUUGUAACGGAUGUAUCAUUUACCUUGAAUGUACAUGUAUUAUGGAAAAAAGUUGUUCCUAACGAUUAAAACAUUUUCAUAUGCAG